GGGGGCGACAUGGCUUCGACGUGGGUCGUGAAGCUUAGGGAGCAUGCCGGGGCGCUCGAGGACCUCGUAAAAACGAGCACACUUUUAGUUGGCACUGCUGACUAUGCAAUGGCUGCUUAAUUAGCAACCCAGCAAACGAGCCUAAGAAAGCGGGGCUCGGGCGCUGUCACUCUAGCUUUCUCGAUCCGAAAGUUGUUUCUCUGAGGGCCUAGGAUUUAAAUUAACUGAGAGAGUUCACUAAGAGGUUUUGUUUGUUGUAUCUCUGGCUGGACUAUAAACGACAGACUAAGCAUGUAGCCGCCCUAAUGUGAAUCACUUGCGGACGCGG
RNAcentral lists this transfer-messenger RNA (328 nucleotides) under Bdellovibrionales bacterium. Its description in RNAcentral is "partial transfer-messenger RNA". It matches the Rfam family "transfer-messenger RNA". Rfam says of the family: Bacterial tmRNA, also known as 10Sa RNA or SsrA, is named for its dual tRNA and mRNA-like properties. Its role is to liberate the mRNA from a stalled ribosome. The record is from RNAcentral. Lineage: Bacteria; Pseudomonadati; Bdellovibrionota; Bdellovibrionia; Bdellovibrionales.